CUACGGGAUGCUCCAGUGAGGAAUAUUGCACAAUGGGCGCAAGCCUGAUGCAGCCAUGCCGCGUGUAUGAAGAAGGCCUUCGGGUUGUAAAGUACUUUCAGCGGGGAGGAAGGGAGUAAAGUUAAUACCUUUGCUCAUUGACGUUACCCGCAGAAGAAGCACCGGCUAACUCCGUGCCAGCAGCCGCGGUAAUACGGAGGGUGCAAGCGUUAAUCGGAAUUACUGGGCGUAAAGCGCACGCAGGCGGUUUGUUAAGUCAGAUGUGAAAUCCCCGGGCUCAACCUGGGAACUGCAUCUGAUACUGGCAAGCUUGAGUGUCGUAGAGGGGGGUAGAAUUCCAGGUGUAGCGGUGAAAUGCGUAGAGAUCUGGAGGAAUACCAGUGGCGAAGGCGGCCCCCUGGACGAAGACUGACGCUCAGGUGCGAAAGCGUGGGGAGCAAACAGGAUUAGAUACCCGGGUAGUC
Molecule: ribosomal RNA, 464 nt
Filed under: uncultured bacterium
Lineage: Bacteria
Description: partial 16S ribosomal RNA
Rfam family: Bacterial small subunit ribosomal RNA
Source: RNAcentral